AGCGCACACGGUGGAUGCCUUGGCGGUCAGAGGCGAUGAAGGACGUGGCAGCCUGCGAAAAGUAUCGGGGAGCUGGCAACAAGCUUUGAUCCGGUAAUGUCCGAAUGGGGAAACCCACCCGCUUGCGGGUAUCCUGCAGUGAAUACAUAGCUGCUGGAAGCGAACCUGGUGAACUGAAAUAUCUAAGUAACCAGAGGAAAAGAAAUCAACCGAGAUUCCGUAAGUAGCGACGAGCGAACGCGGACUAGCCCUUAAGCUGGAUUGGUUCUAGGAAAACGCUCUGGAAAGAGCGGCCAUAGAAGGUGAUAGCCCUGUAUCUGAAAGGGCCAUUCCAGUGAAGACGAGUAGGGCGGGGCACGUGAAACCCUGUCUGAACAUGGGGGGACCAUCCUCCAAGGCUAAAUACUACUGACCGACCGAUAGUGAACCAGUACCGUGAGGGAAAGGCGAAAAGAACCCCGGAGAGGGGAGUGAAAUAGAACCUGAAACCGUGUGCGUACAAGCAGUAGGAGCUCCGCAAGGAGUGACUGCGUACCUUUUGUAUAAUGGGUCAGCGACUUACUGUUCGUGGCAAGCUUAACCGUAUAGGGGAGGCGAAGGGAAACCGAGUCUGAUAAGGGCGCAUAGUCGCGGGCAGUAGACCCGAAACCGGGUGAUCUAGUCAUGCCCAGGGUGAAGGUGCGGUAACACGCACUGGAGGCCCGAACCCACUCCCGUUGCAAAGGUAGGGGAUGAGGUGUGAUUAGGAGUGAAAAGCUAAUCGAACCCGGAGAUAGCUGGUUCUCCUCGAAAGCUAUUUAGGUAGCGCCUCAUAUGUAUCCUCUCGGGGGUAGAGCACUGUUAUGGCUAGGGGGUCAUCGCGACUUACCAAACCAUUGCAAACUCCGAAUACCGAGACGGACUGUAUGGGAGACACACGGCGGGUGCUAACGUCCGUCGUGAAAAGGGAAACAACCCAGACCCACAGCUAAGGUCCCAAAUUCACUGCUAAGUGGAAAACCAUGUGGAAAGGCACAGACAGCCAGGAGGUUGGCUUAGAAGCAGCCACCCUUUAAAGAAAGCGUAAUAGCUCACUGGUCGAGUCGGUCUGCGGGGAAGAUUUAACGGGGCUAAGCAGUGAACCGAAGCUUGGGGUGCAUACUUUGUAUGCGCGGUAGAGGAGCGUUCCGUAAGCCGUUGAAGGUGGAUUGAGAAGUCUGCUGGAGGUAUCGGAAGUGCGAAUGCUGACAUGAGUAACGAUAAUGCGGGUGAAAAACCCGCACGCCGAAAGCCCAAGGUUUCCUUGCGCAACGUUAAUCGGCGCAGGGUGAGUCGGCCCCUAAGGCGAGGACGAAAGUCGUAGUCGAUGGGAAGCAGGUUAAUAUUCCUGCACCUCGCGUAAGUGCGAUGGAGGGACGGAGAAGGUUAGGUGUACCAGGCGUUGGUUGUCCUGGGGAAAGGCGGUAGGUUUGGAUCUUUGGCAAAUCCGGGAUCCUUUAAGACCGAGCACCGAGACGAGCCUUUAUGGCGAAGUCACUGAUACCACGCUUCCAGGAAAAGCUCCUAAGCUUCAGCUUACGCAGACCGUACCGUAAACCGACACAGGUGGGUAGGAUGAGAAUUCUCAGGCGCUUGAGAGAACUCGGGUGAAGGAACUAGGCAACAUGGCACCGUAACUUCGGGAGAAGGUGCACCCUUUUUGGUGGCUCGUGCGAGCUAUAGCUGAAGAGGGUCGCAGUAACCAGGCCGCUGCGACUGUUUAUCAAAAACACAGCACUCUGCAAACACGAAAGUGGACGUAUAGGGUGUGACGCCUGCCCGGUGCUGGAAGGUUAAUUGAUGGGGUCAGCCGCAAGGCGAAGCUCUUGAUCGAAGCCCCAGUAAACGGCGGCCGUAACUAUAACGGUCCUAAGGUAGCGAAAUUCCUUGUCGGGUAAGUUCCGACCUGCACGAAUGGCGUAACGACAGCGGCGCUGUCUCCACCCGAGACUCAGUGAAAUUGAAAUCGCUGUGAAGAUGCAGCGUUCCCGUGGCAAGACGGAAAGACCCCGUGAACCUUUACUAUAGCUUUACACUGAACGUUGAGUUCGUCUGUGUAGGAUAGGUGGGAGGCUAUGAAACUGUGGCGCUAGCUGCAGUGGAGCCAUCCUUGAAAUACCACCCUGUCGUGCUUGACGUUCUAACCUGGGCCCAUUAUCUGGGUCGGGGACCGUGUAUGGUGGGUAGUUUGACUGGGGCGGUCUCCUCCUAAAGAGUAACGGAGGAGCUCGAAGGUACGCUCAGCGCGGUCGGACAUCGCGCACUGUGUGCAAAGGCAUAAGCGUGCUUGACUGCAAGAUCGACGGAUCAAGCAGGUAGGAAACUAGGACUUAGUGAUCCGGUGGUUCUGUAUGGAAGGGCCAUCGCUCAACGGAUAAAAGGUACUCCGGGGAUAACAGGCUGAUACCGCCCAAGAGUUCAUAUCGACGGCGGUGUUUGGCACCUCGAUGUCGGCUCAUCACAUCCUGGGGCUGUAGUCGGUCCCAAGGGUAUGGCUGUUCGCCAUUUAAAGUGGUACGCGAGCUGGGUUCAGAACGUCGUGAGACAGUUCGGUCCCUAUCUGCCAUGGGCGUUGGAGAUUUGAGAGGGGCUGCUCCUAGUACGAGAGGACCGGAGUGGACGAACCUCUGGUGUUCCGGUUGUCACGCCAGUGGCAUUGCCGGGUAGCUAUGUUCGGAAGCGAUAACCGCUGAAAGCAUCUAAGCGGGAAGCGCGCCUCAAGAUGAGAUCUCCCGGGGCACAAGCCCCCUGAAGGAACCAUGUAGACUACGUGGUUGAUAGGUCAGGUGUGUAAGUACAGCAAUGUAUUGAGCUAACUGAUACUAAUGAUCCGUGCGGCUUGACC
This 2863-nucleotide ribosomal RNA is filed under the name Stenotrophomonas maltophilia. RNAcentral describes it as "bacterial LSU rRNA". It matches the Rfam family "Bacterial large subunit ribosomal RNA". The record is from RNAcentral. Lineage: Bacteria; Pseudomonadati; Pseudomonadota; Gammaproteobacteria; Lysobacterales; Lysobacteraceae.